RNAcentral lists this ribosomal RNA (497 nucleotides) under uncultured bacterium. Its description in RNAcentral is "partial 16S ribosomal RNA". It matches the Rfam family "Bacterial small subunit ribosomal RNA", at positions 28 to 507 of the family's 1533-position model. The record is from RNAcentral.
GAUGAACGCUGGCGGCGUGCCUAAUACAUGCAAGUCGAGCGAACGGACGAGAAGCUUGCUUCUCUGAUGUUAGCGGCGGACGGGUGAGUAACACGUGGAUAACCUACCUAUAAGACUGGGAUAACUUCGGGAAACCGGAGCUAAUACCGGAUGAUAUUUUGAACCGCAUGGUUCAAAAGUGAAAGACGGUCUUGCUGUCACUUAUAGAUGGAUCCGCGCUGCAUUAGCUAGUUGGUAAGGUAACGGCUUACCAAGGCAACGAUGCAUAGCCGACCUGAGAGGGUGAUCGGCCACACUGGAACUGAGGCACGGUCCAGACUCCUACGGGAGGCAGCAGUAGGGAAUCUUCCGCAAAGGGCGAAAGCCUGACGGAGCAACGCCGCGUGAGUGAUGAAGGUCUUCGGAUCGUAAAACUCUGUUAUUAGGGAAGAACAUAUGUGUAAGUAACUGUGCACAUCUUGACGGUACCUAAUCAGAAAGCCACGGCUAACUACGUG